RNAcentral lists this ribosomal RNA (492 nucleotides) under uncultured bacterium. RNAcentral describes it as "partial 16S ribosomal RNA". It matches the Rfam family "Bacterial small subunit ribosomal RNA", at positions 29 to 507 of the family's 1533-position model. The record is from RNAcentral.
AGUGAACGCUGGCGGUAGGCCUAACACAUGCAAGUCGAACGGCAGCACAGUAAGAGCUUGCUCUUACGGGUGGCGAGUGGCGGACGGGUGAGGAAUACAUCGGAAUCUACUUUUUCGUGGGGGAUAACGUAGGGAAACUUACGCUAAUACCGCAUACGACCUACAGGUGAAAGCAGGGGAUCUUCGGACCUUGCGCGAUUGAAUGAGCCGAUGUCGGAUUAGCUAGUUGGCGGGGUAAAGGCCCACCAAGGCGACGAUCCGUAGCUGGUCUGAGAGGAUGAUCAGCCACACUGGAACUGAGACACGGUCCAGACUCCUACGGGAGGCAGCAGUGGGGAAUAUUGGACAAUGGGCGCAAGCCUGAUCCAGCCAUACCGCGUGGGUGAAGAAGGCCUUCGGGUUGUAAGGCCCUUUUGUUGGGAAAGAAAAGCAGCAGGUUAAUACCCCGCUGUUCUGACGGUACCCAAAGAAUAAGCACCGGCUAACUUCGUG